RNAcentral lists this ribosomal RNA (473 nucleotides) under uncultured organism. Its description in RNAcentral is "partial 16S ribosomal RNA". It matches the Rfam family "Bacterial small subunit ribosomal RNA", at positions 332 to 797 of the family's 1533-position model. The record is from RNAcentral.
UACACUCCUGCGGGAGGCAGCAGUGGGGAAUUUUGGACAAUGGGCGAAAGCCUGAUCCAGCAAUGCCGCGUGAGUGAAGAAGGCCUUCGGGUUGUAAAGCUCUUUUGUCAGGGAAGAAACGGUGAGAGCUAAUAUCUUUUGCUAAUGACGGUACCUGAAGAAUAAGCACCGGCUAACUACGUGCCAGCAGCCGCGGUAAUACGUAGGGUGCAAGCGUUAAUCGGAAUUACUGGGCGUAAAGCGUGCGCAGGCGGUUUUGUAAGUCUGAUGUGAAAUCCCCGGGCUCAACCUGGGAAUUGCAUUGGAGACUGCAAGGCUAGAAUCUGGCAGAGGGGGGUAGAAUUCCACGUGUAGCAGUGAAAUGCGUAGAUAUGUGGAGGAACACCGAUGGCGAAGGCAGCCCCCUGGGUCAAGAUUGACGCUCAUGCACGAAAGCGUGGGGAGCAAACAGGAUUAGAAACCCCUGUAGCCCC